Molecule: small nuclear RNA, 130 nt
Organism: Echinops telfairi (small Madagascar hedgehog)
Lineage: Eukaryota; Metazoa; Chordata; Mammalia; Afrosoricida; Tenrecidae
Source: RefSeq, a predicted model, not a curated record
GCUUUACAUGAAAGGAGAGAAGGUUAGCAUUCCCCUUGACAAGGAUGGAAGAGGCCCUUAGGCCUUACAACAUGCAAACGGUUAAGGCAUUGCCACCUGUGAGACAGUUGUGAGACAGCAAAAAAUCUGA